Molecule: ribosomal RNA, 448 nt
Filed under: uncultured bacterium
Lineage: Bacteria
Description: bacterial SSU rRNA
Rfam family: Bacterial small subunit ribosomal RNA
Source: RNAcentral
ACUCCUACGGGAGGCAGCAGUGGGAAUAUUGCGCAAUGGGCGAAAGCCUGACGCAGCCACGCCGCGUGAGCGAUGAAGGCCCUAGGGUCGUAAAGCUCUGUGGAGGGAGAAGAAACCUGACGGUAUCCCUUUAGCAAGCACCGGCUAACUCCGUGCCAGCAGCCGCGGUAAUACGGAGGGUGCAAACGUUGCUCGGAAUCAUUGGGCGUAAAGCACAUGUAGGCGGCUGCGCAAGUUGGAUGUGAAAGCCCGGGGCUCAACCUCGGAAUAGCAUUUGAAACUGGCAGACUAGAGUACUGUAGAGGGGGUAGAUUUCAGGUGUAGCGGUGAAAUGCGUAGAGAUCUGAAGGAAUACCGGUGGCGAAGGCGGCCCCUCGGACAGAUACUGACACUCAGAUGCGAAAGCGUGGGGGAGCAAACAGGAUUAGAUACCCUGGUAGGCUCUGCU